GCGGAUAUGGCGGAAUUGGCAGACGCGCUGGUUUUAGGUACCAGUGGGUAACCGUGCAGGUUCAAGUCCUGUUAUCCGCA
This 80-nucleotide transfer RNA is filed under the name Blautia massiliensis (ex Durand et al. 2017). Its description in RNAcentral is "tRNA-Leu". It matches the Rfam family "tRNA". From Rfam's summary of the family: Transfer RNA (tRNA) molecules are approximately 80 nucleotides in length. The record is from RNAcentral. Lineage: Bacteria; Bacillati; Bacillota; Clostridia; Lachnospirales; Lachnospiraceae. RNAcentral also lists the same sequence under 1 other name.